AGCCGCGGUAAUUCCAGCUCCAAUAGCGUAUAUUAAAGUUGUUGUGGUUAAAAAGCUCGUAGUUGGAUCUCGGCGGACUGAGGGCGGUUUGCUUGCUAGUAUUACUGCCCUAUAGUCCGUAGUUUUGCCAGAGGUUUCGGGGUGCUCUUAAUCGAGUGUCCCGGGAUGCUGGCAGGUUUACUUUGAAAAAAUUAGAGUGCUCAAAGCAGGCUAUUACGCCUGAAUAUUCGUGCAUGGAAUAAUAGAAUAGGAAGUCGUUUCUAUUUUGUUGGUUUUCGGAAAUCGACUUAAUGAUUAAUAGGGACAGUCGGGGGCAUUUGUAUUCAAACGACAGAGGUGAAAUUCUUGGACCGUUUGAAGACAAACUACUGCGAAAGCAUUUGCCAAGAAUGUUUUCAUUAAUCAAGAACGAAAGUUAAAGGUUCGAAGGCGAUUAGAUACCGCCCUAGUUUUAACCAUAAACGAUGCCAGCUAGCGAUCUGCGGACGUUUUUUUUGUAGACUCCGCAGGAAGCUUCCGGGAAACCAAAGCAUUUGGGUUCCAGGGGAAGUAUGGUUGCAAAGCUGAAACUUAAAGGAAUUGACGGAAGGGCACCACCAGGAGUGGAGCCUGUGGCUUAAUUUGACUCAACACGGGAAAUCUCACCAGGCCCGGACACUGGAAGGAUUGACAGAUUGAUAGCUCUUUCUUGAUUCGGUGGGUGGUGGUGCAUGGCCGUUCUUAGUUGGUGGAGUGAUUUGUCUGGUUAAUUCCGAUAACGAACGAGACUCUGUCCUGCUAAAUAGUGUCUGCUUCUCUUUUGAGCAGACAAUUCUUCUUAGAGGGACUGGCGACUCUUAGUCGCACGAGAUUGAGCAAUAACAGGUCUGUGAUG
Molecule: ribosomal RNA, 874 nt
Filed under: uncultured eukaryote
Lineage: Eukaryota
Description: SSU rRNA
Rfam family: Eukaryotic small subunit ribosomal RNA
Source: RNAcentral